GACGAGGUGGACAAACGUUAUUCGGAUUUACUGGGCUUAAAGCGUGCGUAGGCGGCUCAGAAAGUAGGGUGUGAAAGCCCUCGGCUCAACCGAGGAAUUGCGCUCUAAACUACUGAGCUUGAGGGAGAUAGGGGAGAGCGGAACUGAUGGUGGAGCGGUGAAAUGCGUUGAUAUCAUCAGGAACACCGGUGGCGAAGGCGGCUCUCUGGAUCUCUUCUGACGCUGAGGCACGAAAGCUAGGGGAGCAAACGGG
RNAcentral lists this ribosomal RNA (253 nucleotides) under uncultured bacterium. RNAcentral's name for it is "partial 16S ribosomal RNA". It matches the Rfam family "Bacterial small subunit ribosomal RNA", at positions 524 to 776 of the family's 1533-position model. The record is from RNAcentral.